This 74-nucleotide microRNA precursor is filed under the name Schistosoma margrebowiei. Its description in RNAcentral is "mir-3492 microRNA precursor family". It matches the Rfam family "mir-3492 microRNA precursor family". The record is from Rfam by way of RNAcentral. Lineage: Eukaryota; Metazoa; Platyhelminthes; Trematoda; Strigeidida; Schistosomatidae.
AACUUUCUGAAUCCGUGCCGAGAUUUCGUUAAAUACCAACCCUCCAUAAUGAGACUUCCAAGAUGAGUGAAGUA